GACGAACGCCGGCGGCGUGCUUAACACAUGCAAGUCGAACGGAAAGGCCCUGCUUUUGUGGGGUGCUCGAGUGGCGAAAGGGUGAGUAACACGUGAGUAACCUGCCCUUGACUUUGGGAUAACUUCAGGAAACUGGGGCUAAUACCGGAUAGGAGCGCCUGCUGCAUGGUGGGGGUUGGAAAGUUUCGGCGGUUGGGGAUGGACUCGCGGCUUAUCAGCUUGUUGGUGGGGGAGUGGCUUACCAAGGCUUUGACGGGUAGCCGGCCUGAGAGGGUGACCGGGCAAAAUGGGAAUGGGGAACGGCCCCGAAUCCUAAGGGGGGCAGGAGUGGGGAAUAAUGGCCAAUGGGCGGGAGGCUGAUGCAGCAACGCCGCGUGCGGGAUGACGGCCUUCGGGUUGUAAACCGCUUUCGCCUGUGACGAAGCGUGAGUGACGGUAAUGGGUAAAGAAGCACCGGCUAACUACGUG
RNAcentral lists this ribosomal RNA (468 nucleotides) under uncultured bacterium. Its description in RNAcentral is "partial 16S ribosomal RNA". It matches the Rfam family "Bacterial small subunit ribosomal RNA", at positions 28 to 507 of the family's 1533-position model. The record is from RNAcentral.